RNAcentral lists this transfer RNA (69 nucleotides) under Marmota monax (woodchuck). RNAcentral describes it as "tRNA.Ala". Lineage: Eukaryota; Metazoa; Chordata; Mammalia; Rodentia; Sciuridae. The record is from RNAcentral.
UGUAUAGGUCAGUGGUAGAGCUCUUGCCUAGCAGGCACGAAGUCCUGGGUUUGAUCCCCAGCAUUACAA